GAAGGGCUGUAGUUCAGCGGUAGAGCAUCUGCCUUGUGUGAAGAAGGUCCCAACCUCAAUCCCUGGCAUUUUCA
Podarcis lilfordi (Lilford's wall lizard) is the source of this 74-nucleotide non-coding RNA. Lineage: Eukaryota; Metazoa; Chordata; Lepidosauria; Squamata; Lacertidae. The record is from the annotation of a GenBank genome assembly.